GACCUGGCCGAUCUUGAGUAUCCAUUCACGGAAGAAGAAAUCCUUCGAGCAGUAAGGGCGCUCCCCCGUGGCAAGGCACCAGGACAUGAUGGCUUCACCUCGGAAUUCCUCGUUGCCUGUUGGCACACGAUCAAAGCUGACAUCUGCGAGGUGUUCGAAAAAUUCUACUCUAUGAAUGGGCGCAGCUUGCAGCGCCUCAACGAGGCCCUCAUCACCCUCCUGCCGAAAAAACAAGACCCCUCCGCCCUCUCAGACUACCGGCCUAUCAGCUUGGUCCACCUUAUUGCUAAGCUCAUCGCCAAAGUCCUCUCGCUUCGACUCGCUCCCUGGCUGAGCCAGCUCGUGUCCACUAGCCAGAGCGCGUUUAUUGCCGGUCGUUGUGUGCAUGAUAACUACAUGCUUGUCCAGCAGAUCGCUCGCCAACUUCACAACCUACGGGCUCCUAGGGUGCUCCUCAAGCUCGACAUCGCGCGCGCUUUCGACACGGUCUCCUGGCCCUUCAUCAUCGACGUCCUUCAUCACCUGGGCUUUGGUAGGCGCUGGAUCGAAUGGAUCACCAUCCUACUCUCCACCUCCAGCACGCGCGUCCUCAUCAACAGGUCCCCCGGCCCCCCGAUCACCCUCGCCUGUGGCCUGCGGCAAGGAGACCCUAUCUCCCCGAUGCUAUUCACGAUGGCCAUCGAUGUCCUCAACUCCUUACUUGUGCAUGCCCAUCGGCGUGGACUUCUGCAACGUCUCACAGCCCGCCACGCUGCAUCGAGCAUUUCUCUCUACGCCAACGACGUCAUCGUGUUCUGCCACCCCUCGCACCGUGACCUACGGGUCAUCUGUGAGCUUCUGCGAGUCUUUGGGGUGGCAUCCGGCUUUGCACCAACUUUUCGAAGUGCUCGGCCACGCCCAUUCACUGUGGGGAAGAGGAGAUCGCAUGCAUGUUGGAAAUAUGCCCUAGAGGCAAUAAUAAAAGGAUUAUUAUUAUAUUUCCUUGUUCAUGAUAAUUGUCUAUUGUUCAUGCUUUAA
RNAcentral lists this ribosomal RNA (1017 nucleotides) under Triticum aestivum (bread wheat). RNAcentral describes it as "partial small subunit ribosomal RNA". The record is from RNAcentral. Lineage: Eukaryota; Viridiplantae; Streptophyta; Magnoliopsida; Poales; Poaceae.